AAUCCUGUGGUGAGGGCAUCUACGUAGUAGCUCCUUAAAUCUUUCUCAUACCUCAUAUAAGGACUCUUCAUCCAUUUGUUGAAAAGUGGUGAUCUCGUUCCGUAACU
Non-coding RNA from Gossypium hirsutum (cotton), 107 nucleotides. The record is from Rfam. NCBI's taxonomy places the organism in Eukaryota, Viridiplantae, Streptophyta, Magnoliopsida, Malvales, Malvaceae.